RNAcentral lists this long non-coding RNA (1262 nucleotides) under Eucalyptus grandis. RNAcentral's name for it is "long non-coding RNA (EGRA_LNC007569)". Lineage: Eukaryota; Viridiplantae; Streptophyta; Magnoliopsida; Myrtales; Myrtaceae. The record is from RNAcentral.
UUCCUGUAGCACCUUCAAGCACAAAUGAUCAACCUCCAUCUGUGGAGCUUAAUACCACAAAGAACCCUCAUAGCAAUCCCUUGCCUACCUUGCAAAUUUCUUCUAUUGCAGAACCGAUAUUGAAAGAACCUGUGGUGAACAGCAAGAAGCUCAAAAACCCGAGAAUGGUGAUUAAGGCCGGUCCCCAUAAAAAAACAAAGCAUUAUAACCCUUAUGAGACUCCCUCCUAUGUUCAAGUACCUCUGGACGAUUCACUCCUUAUGGAUACCCCGAUCUUUGCAGCUGAAGGGGUAGACACAAGGGCUGUGGUGGUUUGCCCAAAACAACCACCGCCAGAACAAUGAAAAUUAUAAGUUGGAAUUGUCAGGGGCUAGGCAACCCCCUGACAAUUCAAGCUCUAAAAGACAUAGUGGUCCAUGAUAGGCCCGAUAUUAUUUUUUUGAUGGAAUCCAAAAACCAGGAACCAGUCAUCCAGCGAUUACAGCGAAAUCUUCAUUAUGAAAACCUUUUUGUGAUCAAUCCCCUAGGUUUGGCUGGAGGUUUGGUUAUUUUUUGGAAUGAUCAGGUUAAUCUUACUAUCCACUCUCAUGACCAGCAUCAUAUUGAUACUAUCUGCUCAGAUGUUCUGAAAAGGACAACUAUGGGUAUUACUUUUCUGCAUGCUUCAGUAGUAUUUCAUCAGAGGCAACAUCUAUGGACAACUUUGCGUCAACUCAGCCAUCUACAUACCCUACCUUGGGUGUGCAUUGGCGACUUUAAUGAAAUUUUGAAUCACUGGGAGAAAGUGGGAAAACGCUUACCUCAGCAAUAUCGGUUGCAAUCUUUUAGAGAUUUAUUAGACCACUGUGCUUUGAUGGAUCUUGAAACCAAGGGCUGUACCUACACUUGGGUGAACAAUAGAAGUGGUGAGGAAGCUGUAAAGGAGCGAAUAGAUAGAGCUGUGUGCACAAUGGAAUGGCGAUUAACCUAUCCAGAAGCUGAAGUUUACGCUUUACCUGCUAUAGGCUCAGACCAUUGUCCACUACUCUUAAAUACAGAAGUCAAAUCAAAAAGGAGGAAAAGGAGGUUCACCUUUGAGUCUUUUUGGCUUCAAGAUGAUGAAUGCCACAGGGUGGUCUUUGAUGUAUGGUCAUCAGCCUUAAAUCAUCCCUUCAGCAUCUCCAAAAAAUUACAGAUGACAACUACAGCUUUGGCUAAUUGGAGUAGAAUGAAGUUUACUGCCGCACAUCAUCAAAUAGAUCUCUUAAAGCAGAAGCUCCAGU